RNAcentral lists this long non-coding RNA (98 nucleotides) under Microtus ochrogaster (prairie vole). Its description in RNAcentral is "Maternally expressed 3 conserved region 2 (ENSMOCG00000010790.1)". It matches the Rfam family "Maternally expressed 3 conserved region 2". From Rfam's summary of the family: MEG3 (maternally expressed 3) is a maternally expressed, imprinted noncoding RNA gene. At least 12 different isoforms of MEG3 are generated by alternative splicing. Lineage: Eukaryota; Metazoa; Chordata; Mammalia; Rodentia; Cricetidae. The record is from RNAcentral.
AUGUCCUGAGCAGAAGGAUCCCUUUGGGAACCUCUCAGGAGGCGGGACCUGGGCCAGGGGCCACCAGCAUCGUGCUGGUAACUCCGUGGGUGGGGGUG